AACGAACGCUGGCGGCAUGCCUAACACAUGCAAGUCGAACGAGACCUUCGGGUCUAGUGGCGCACGGGUGCGUAACGCGUGGGGACCUGCCCUUAGGUUCGGAAUAACUCCCCGAAAGGGGUGCUAAUACCGGAUAAUGUCUUCGGACCAAAGAUUUAUCGCCUUUGGAUGGGCCCGCGUUGGAUUAGCUAGUUGGUAGGGUAAAAGCCUACCAAGGCGACGAUCCAUAGCUGGUCUGAGAGGAUGAUCAGCCACACUGGGACUGAGACACGGCCCAGACUCCUACGGGAGGCAGCAGUGGGGAAUAUUGGACAAUGGGCGGAAGCCUGAUCCAGCAAUGCCGCGUGAGUGAUGAAGGCCUUAGGGUUGUAAAGCUCUUUUACCCGGGAUGAUAAUGACAGUACCGGGAGAAUAAGCUCCGGCUAACUCCGUG
This 433-nucleotide ribosomal RNA is filed under the name uncultured bacterium. RNAcentral's name for it is "partial 16S ribosomal RNA". It matches the Rfam family "Bacterial small subunit ribosomal RNA", at positions 29 to 507 of the family's 1533-position model. The record is from RNAcentral.